RNAcentral lists this ribosomal RNA (253 nucleotides) under uncultured bacterium. RNAcentral's name for it is "partial 16S ribosomal RNA". It matches the Rfam family "Bacterial small subunit ribosomal RNA", at positions 524 to 776 of the family's 1533-position model. The record is from RNAcentral.
UACGGGGGGGGCAAGCGUUGUUCGGAAUUACUGGGCGUAAAGGGCUCGUAGGCGGCCAACUAAGUCAGACGUGAAAUCCCUCGGCUUAACCGGGGAACUGCGUCUGAUACUGGAUGGCUAGAGUUUGGGAGAGGGAUGCGGAAUUCCAGGUGUAGCGGUGAAAUGCGUAGAUAUCUGGAGGAAUACCGGUGGCGAAGGCGGCAUCCUGGACCGACAUUGACGCUGAGGAGCGAAAGCCAGGGGAGCAAACGGG